Chroicocephalus ridibundus (black-headed gull) is the source of this 1674-nucleotide RNA transcript. It is a transcript of the gene named Dexi homolog, with no coding region annotated. The record is from RefSeq and is a predicted model, not a curated record. The transcript is spliced from 2 exons. Lineage: Eukaryota; Metazoa; Chordata; Aves; Charadriiformes; Laridae.
CCGCGGCGUGCGGCGGGGCGGGGAGCGGCGGCGAGGAGGCGGGCGGGCAGAGGGGGUCCUGCCGCGCAGGCCGGGGCUGGCCGAGGGCGGCAGCUGCUCCGCCACAACGCGCCUGCGGACUCCUUCCGCAAAGUUUGCGGGCGGGAGGAGGAGGGGAGCCGCGGCGGGACUGCAGCAGCCGGGCUGGAGAUGCCCCUGAGGAGCCUCCUGCCGACGGCGGGGCUGCGGCAGCGCCGCUGAAGCCCGCGCUGGCCGCCCGCCUUCCUCCGGGGAGGGACGGGACCGAGCCGGCCGCUCUGCGGCUGUGCCGCCUCCGCGCCCCGCGGGGCUCGCCUCUUCCCGGCUGCGGACCCGGCCCCGUCUCUGGGGUGUUGCCCUUCCCUGCCACCGGGGCUGCGGAGCGCGGUGCUGCGCCGCCGCUGCCGCCCGCUCGCCCACCUCCCCUCCCCGCGCCGGCCGGGCAGGUCGGUGCCCUCUGCGGCGCCCGGAGCCCCCGCCGCCGGAGCCCGCCGCAGCCCCGCACGGCUGCAUGCCCGCCGCGGUCUCGGCACGUCUGGAUUCGCUGGAGUCCUGGGCCUUCCAUGCGCUGCUGGUGCUGCCCUAUAUGUUUUAUUUGGGCUUGUUCUUUGUCAACGUGCUGAUCCUGUACUAUGCCUUCCUGAUGGAGUACAUCGUUCUCAAUGUAGGCAUCGUCUUCCUGCCCGAGGAUAUGGACCAGGCUCUGGUGGAUCUGGGGGUGCUCUCCGACCCUGGCUCCGUGCUCUACGAGACGGACAGCGAGCUGGAUGUCUUUGACGGGUACUUGGAGUGACGCCCCGGGGCGCUCCGAAGCGACUGCGGGCUGUCGCCGGGCCGGGCGUCCCGGCAUGGCCGUGGCUCGGGGGCCGCCGCGGCCCCGCCAUGCCCUCGCUGCGUCUCGGCUCCUUCUGCGCAGCAUCUUCCCUUCCAAACGCCCCCCCCGCCCCGCUCCCCCGUGCCCGGGUCGCGCUGCCGCCGGGCAGAGCCGCGGACACGCAGGGGGCUCGCAAGGGAAAUUCAUUAAACACCUGAAUGGAUUAUGACCAGGUUAAUGGAUCAAGUGAUGGAAAGAAACUAUACUCUGAAAUGUAGAGAUGAAAAGAUGGACAAGGGGACAACAAGAAGAGUUGUCAUCAGACCUUGUCGGUUGUGACUUUUCUCCAUGGUCAUUGCCUCUUGAGUGUGCACUAACUGCAGUGAUUCAUGCACCGCACUGGGCUUCCAUAGGUAAUUCUGGGAUGGACUACAUGAACAAAUAAUAUAAGCUAUGUUCUAUUAUAACAGAAAAUCAAGAUGUUACUCAGAUUUGAUAAACUUUUGAAUAAAUAACAUGUCACCCAAAUGGACACGCUCUACAUACUGCUUAAGCAAGUUUUACAACCACACAUUGAAAACCCUACCAGCCAGUAGUUCACAGACAGUACUCUCUCAGGGGAAAAUAUGCAGGAGUGACUGCAAGGAGGUUCUCUUCAGGGCAGUUUACGGCAAGAACUGUGCUAGUAAGAUAUUUUAUUUAAAUUGUGAGUUUUGAAAUAGAUCAGAGAGUAAAUUUUAUAUAAGUCAGGUGGAUUCAUUAUUUAUCACAAGAUACUUUGCAGAUUGUUUCAGCUCAUAUUCUUAUGUACAGAUGUGAAAGCAAUGCAAUAAAGACUGACC